Molecule: ribosomal RNA, 201 nt
Filed under: uncultured bacterium
Lineage: Bacteria
Description: partial 16S ribosomal RNA
Rfam family: Bacterial small subunit ribosomal RNA
Source: RNAcentral
ACGCUCGACACCUACGGGGGGCAGCAGUGGGGAAUAUUGGGCAAUGGGCGCAAGCCUGACCCAGCAACGCCGCGUGAAGGAAGAAGGCCCUCGGGUUGUAAACUUCUUUUGUCAGGGACGAAGCAAGUGACGGUACCUGACGAAUAAGCCACGGCUAACUACGUGCCAGCAGCUGCGGUAAUCUGAGCGGGCUGGCAAGGC